This 403-nucleotide unclassified non-coding RNA is filed under the name Hevea brasiliensis (rubber tree). The record is from RNAcentral. Lineage: Eukaryota; Viridiplantae; Streptophyta; Magnoliopsida; Malpighiales; Euphorbiaceae.
GUUGAAAGAGCUGCUUGUGCAACUUUAUGAUGAGGAUCAUCCAAGUGCUGGAAAAACAACUUCAUUACCUUCUCGAAGUUCUGGAUCACCUCCUGAAUACCUUUAGGCCCUUGCUGCAGCAAAGACCGGAGAUGAUUAAAAGCAGCAACUCUAGCAUUCCAGUCAGAACUUGGACUAAGUCCCUCACUCAGUGCGUCAGUAAGAGAUGCAGGGCCUUCUACAUAAUUUGACAUCUCCCCAAGUGAAAGUUGGCUGUCAUCAAAACUUCUUCUCCCAGCAGACAUCCGUCCAGUUACAUGCUUUCUUAAAAGUGGCCUCUGAAAGUUGGGAAUGUGACUGUUCUGAGAAUCCCUGAAGUUUACAUCUUUGUAAGACAUAUCUACAUACUGCCUGUCAAUGUGUG